GUCCUCGUAGUUUAAUGGAUAGAACGUCAGUUUGCGGAACUGUCGGUCCAGGUUCGAUUCCUGGCGAGGGCA
This 72-nucleotide transfer RNA is filed under the name Candidatus Nomurabacteria bacterium. RNAcentral's name for it is "tRNA-Arg". It matches the Rfam family "tRNA". From Rfam's summary of the family: Transfer RNA (tRNA) molecules are approximately 80 nucleotides in length. Their secondary structure includes four short double-helical elements and three loops (D, anti-codon, and T loops). RNAcentral also lists the same sequence under 1 other name. The record is from RNAcentral. Lineage: Bacteria; Candidatus Nomuraibacteriota.